Molecule: ribosomal RNA, 993 nt
Filed under: Escherichia coli
Lineage: Bacteria; Pseudomonadati; Pseudomonadota; Gammaproteobacteria; Enterobacterales; Enterobacteriaceae
Description: partial 23S ribosomal RNA
Rfam family: Bacterial large subunit ribosomal RNA
Source: RNAcentral
UUCGACACACUAUCAUUAACUGAAUCCAUAGGUUAAUGAGGCGAACCGGGGGAACUGAAACAUCUAAGUACCCCGAGGAAAAGAAAUCAACCGAGAUUCCCCCAGUAGCGGCGAGCGAACGGGGAGCAGCCCAGAGCCUGAAUCAGUAUGUGUGUUAGUGGAAGCGUCUGGAAAGGCGCGCGAUACAGGGUGACAGCCCCGUACACAAAAAUGCACAUGCUGUGAGCUCGAUGAGUAGGGCGGGACACGUGGUAUCCUGUCUGAAUAUGGGGGGACCAUCCUCCAAGGCUAAAUACUCCUGACUGACCGAUAGUGAACCAGUACCGUGAGGGAAAGGCGAAAAGAACCCCGGCGAGGGGAGUGAAAAAGAACCUGAAACCGUGUACGUACAAGCAGUGGGAGCACGCUUAGGCGUGUGACUGCGUACCUUUUGUAUAAUGGGUCAGCGACUUAUAUUCUGUAGCAAGGUUAACCGAAUAGGGGAGCCGAAGGGAAACCGAGUCUUAACUGGGCGUUAAGUUGCAGGGUAUAGACCCGAAACCCGGUGAUCUAGCCAUGGGCAGGUUGAAGGUUGGGUAACACUAACUGGAGGACCGAACCGACUAAUGUUGAAAAAUUAGCGGAUGACUUGUGGCUGGGGGUGAAAGGCCAAUCAAACCGGGAGAUAGCUGGUUCUCCCCGAAAGCUAUUUAGGUAGCGCCUCGUGAAUUCAUCUCCGGGGGUAGAGCACUGUUUCGGCAAGGGGGUCAUCCCGACUUACCAACCCGAUGCAAACUGCGAAUACCGGAGAAUGUUAUCACGGGAGACACACGGCGGGUGCUAACGUCCGUCGUGAAGAGGGAAACAACCCAGACCGCCAGCUAAGGUCCCAAAGUCAUGGUUAAGUGGGAAACGAUGUGGGAAGGCCCAGACAGCCAGGAUGUUGGCUUAGAAGCAGCCAUCAUUUAAAGAAAGCGUAAUAGCUCACUGGUCGAGUCGGCCUGCGCGGAAGAU